This is a long non-coding RNA of Musa acuminata AAA Group (dessert banana), 461 nucleotides long. RefSeq lists it as uncharacterized. The record is from RefSeq and is a predicted model, not a curated record. The transcript is spliced from 3 exons. Lineage: Eukaryota; Viridiplantae; Streptophyta; Magnoliopsida; Zingiberales; Musaceae.
UAGAGCAACGAAUCAUAAAGAUAAGCAAAUCAAAAGAAAAAAAGAAAAAAAUCUGACCCAUAAUAACUUUACUAUUAUAAUUUCAUCUAUAAAAGCUUACAUGGGAGAUGGAUAAAUUUCAUAGCAUACGAAAAAAAUAGAGAUGCCAAUUUCCAAAGGGUGCUUUCUUUUCGUGCUCCUCGCUCUUUCCAUUGCUCUCACAGUGCCGAAUGUUGCUGCAGACGAUUGUGCAAAUGUAUGGUGUGUAGCAAACCCUAAGGCGAACCGUGAUGCACAGCAAAAAGACAUUAAUGUGCUGUGUAAUACGAUGGACUGUAGCCCAAUCAAAUCAGGUGGGGCUUGCUUCGAACCGAACACCGUAUUGGAUCACGCUUCCUUCGUCUUUAACACCUACUUCAAAGACCGGGCUUGCAACCCGUCGACAUGCAACUUUGGAGGCGAUGCCACAAUAACCAAAACAA